Molecule: ribosomal RNA, 433 nt
Filed under: uncultured bacterium
Lineage: Bacteria
Description: partial 16S ribosomal RNA
Rfam family: Bacterial small subunit ribosomal RNA
Source: RNAcentral
AACGAACGCUGGCGGCAUGCCUAACACAUGCAAGUCGAACGAUCCCUUCGGGGAUAGUGGCGCACGGGUGCGUAACGCGUGGGAACCUGCCCUUAGGUUCGGAAUAACUCAGAGAAAUUUGAGCUAAUACCGGAUAAUGUCUUCGGACCAAAGAUUUAUCGCCUUUGUAUGGGCCCGCGUUGGAUUAGCUAGUUGGUGGGGUAAAGGCCUACCAAGGCGACGAUCCAUAGCUGGUCUGAGAGGAUGCUCAGCCACACUGGGACUGAGACACGGCCCAGACUCCUACGGGAGGCAGCAGUGGGGAAUAUUGGACAAUGGGCGAAAGCCUGAUCCAGCAAUGCCGCGUGAGUGAUGAAGGCCUUAGGGUUGUAAAGCUCUUUUACCCGGGAUGAUAAUGACAGUACCGGGAGAAUAAGCCCCGGCUAACUCCGUG